GGAAAUAGUUAUAUUUUUUUUUAUAUUGAUUUUUUUUUUUUUAAAAAAUAACUAUAUAAAAAAAUAUACGUACUAUGGAUGCAUUAGAACAUCAAUGGGAUGACAAGGUUAACCUUUUCCAUUUUAAAAUAAACACACUAGCAAACGAAAUGACCCAAAUCAAGCGGGAUACACAAAAUGCUUACAUGUUAAGAAAUAAGCAGACACUUAUAACUAGAUGCAAUAACAUUACAAAAAGAAGAGAGAUAAUAAGUACCAAUAAUUAUGAAGUGAAAAACAAUUUAAAAAAAAUAACGAUGAAUAGUAACACUAAUAGUAACAUGAAUAGUAACACUAACAUUAAAACUAUUAGUAAUAAUAGUAGAAACGUUAGUAAUAAUAUGGAUAGUAACACUAGUAGCAACACGAACAGCCACAUAAAUAGCCGCAUGAAUAGCAACAUGAAUAGCCACGUGAAUAGCAACAUGAAUAGCCACGNNNNNNNNNNACGUGAAUAGCAACAUGAAUAGCCACGUGAAUAGCAACAUGAAUAGCAACAUUAAUCGUAACAGUAACAACAAUGGUUUUACUUAUAUUGUUAAAAAUUCUAACAUUAUUAGACUAGAUAAUGUUGCUUUUCCUGCAACUAAAACUACAUCUAACAAAGUUAUAAAAACUAAUGACACCAAAUUAGUUGAUCAAAAAAAUAAUUGGCAAUUUAACUUAAGAACUAAAAGAAAAAACGAUAAACCUAUUAAAUUGAAUGAAAAAAGAUGGUUAAUCGCGAAAAAACAUAUUAAAGUUGAAAAAUCUCAAAAUAAUGAAGAGGAAAAUAAUUUAGAAAAAGAACAAAACAAAAAAAGUAAAAUGUUAUAUUUGGAGGGAGAAGAAGGAAAUAUACAAAUGUAUCCUUUAUACACUGACUCGGAAAUAGGGUUUGAUGCAAUAUCACAUAUAGAAGAAGAAAAUUUAGUAACAGUAAAAAAAAAAAACCAAGAUGAUGAUGACAUAAAAACAACCAAAUAUUUAGCUCAGUGGAGUUCGGAUUUAGUUUACAAAUAUCUUGAAGAAUCAAUUGAAAAAGCAAAAUUAAUAUUUCAUGAUUUAGAUGUUAAUUCAAGACAUGCGGAAUUAUUAAAAAGAGUAAACUGGUAAACACAUUAAGGAAUUAAAAAAAAAGUGGAAUUACAAUAAAUGAAUAAUUAAAAAAAGUGGAAAAGAUGCU
RNAcentral lists this long non-coding RNA (1204 nucleotides) under Piliocolobus tephrosceles (Ugandan red Colobus). RNAcentral's name for it is "lncRNA (ENSPTEG00000017027.1)". The record is from RNAcentral. Lineage: Eukaryota; Metazoa; Chordata; Mammalia; Primates; Cercopithecidae.